AGCAUCAGCUAGGGGUCCUUUUUCGGAAUCAUCCGAAAUGCUGGUGAGACAGUCCCUUAAUACCUGACGCGGAUAAUGCCGCCGUAGGGAAGCUGGGACUAAUCCUC
This 107-nucleotide non-coding RNA is filed under the name Nitrosomonas cryotolerans. RNAcentral describes it as "TPP sequence". It matches the Rfam family "TPP riboswitch aptamer (THI element)". Rfam says of the family: Vitamin B(1) in its active form thiamin pyrophosphate (TPP) is an essential coenzyme that is synthesised by coupling of pyrimidine and thiazole moieties in bacteria. The previously detected thiamin-regulatory element, thi box was extended, resulting in a new, highly conserved RNA secondary structure, the THI element, which is widely distributed in eubacteria and also occurs in some archaea. Lineage: Bacteria; Pseudomonadati; Pseudomonadota; Betaproteobacteria; Nitrosomonadales; Nitrosomonadaceae. The record is from RNAcentral. RNAcentral also lists the same sequence under 1 other name.